ACUCCUGCGGGAGGCAGCAGUGGGGAAUUUUGGACAAUGGGCGAAAGCCUGAUCCAGCCAUGCCGCGUGCAGGAUGAAGGCCUUCGGGUUGUAAACUGCUUUUGUACGGAACGAAACGGCCUUUUCUAAUAAAGAGGGCUAAUGACGGUACCGUAAGAAUAAGCACCGGCUAACUACGUGCCAGCAGCCGCGGUAAUACGUAGGGUGCAAGCGUUAAUCGGAAUCACUGGGCGUAAAGCGUGCGCAGGCGGUUAUGUAAGACAGUUGUGAAAUCCCCGGGCUCAACCUGGGAACUGCAUCUGUGACUGCAUAGCUAGAGUACGGUAGAGGGGGAUGGAAUUCCGCGUGUAGCAGUGAAAUGCGUAGAUAUGCGGAGGAACACCGAUGGCGAAGGCAAUCCCCUGGACCUGUACUGACGCUCAUGCACGAAAGCGUGGGGAGCAAACAGGAUUAGAUACCCCAGUAGUCCCAUGAU
Molecule: ribosomal RNA, 475 nt
Filed under: uncultured organism
Description: partial 16S ribosomal RNA
Rfam family: Bacterial small subunit ribosomal RNA
Source: RNAcentral